CAGCAGCCGCGGUAAGACAGAGGAUGCAAGCGUUAUCCGGAAUGAUUGGGCGUAAAGCGCGCGUAGGCGGUUUUUUAAGUCUGAUGUGAAAGCCCACGGCUCAACCGUGGAGGGUCAUUGGAAACUGGAAAACUUGAGUGCAGAAGAGGAAAGUGGAAUUCCAUGUGUAGCGGUGAAAUGCGCAGAGAUAUGGAGGAACACCAGUGGCGAAGGCGACUUUCUGGUCUGUAACUGACGCUGAUGUGCGAAAGCGUGGGGAUCAAACAGGAUUAGAUACCCCUGUAGUCCCUGUCUCUUAUAC
RNAcentral lists this ribosomal RNA (301 nucleotides) under uncultured bacterium. RNAcentral describes it as "partial 16S ribosomal RNA". It matches the Rfam family "Bacterial small subunit ribosomal RNA", at positions 509 to 807 of the family's 1533-position model. The record is from RNAcentral.